GACGAACCGUGCGAACGUUGUUCGGAAUCACUGGGCUUAAAGGGCGCGUAGGCGGGCUGCCAAGUCUGGGGUGAAAUCCCACGGCUCAACCGUGGAACUGCCUCGGAUACUGGCGGUCUCGAGGGAGGUAGGGGCGUGCGGAACUGUGGGUGGAGCGGUGAAAUGCGUUGAUAUCCACAGGAACUCCGGUGGCGAAAGCGGCGCGCUGGACCUCUUCUGACGCUGAGGCGCGAAAGCUAGGGGAGCAAACGGG
This 253-nucleotide ribosomal RNA is filed under the name uncultured bacterium. RNAcentral describes it as "partial 16S ribosomal RNA". It matches the Rfam family "Bacterial small subunit ribosomal RNA", at positions 524 to 776 of the family's 1533-position model. The record is from RNAcentral.